This is a long non-coding RNA of Oncorhynchus keta (chum salmon), 854 nucleotides long. RefSeq lists it as uncharacterized. Lineage: Eukaryota; Metazoa; Chordata; Actinopteri; Salmoniformes; Salmonidae. The record is from RefSeq and is a predicted model, not a curated record. The transcript has 3 exons.
UUUCUGUUCAGAAGACAAACAGCUCAAAACCUGCCAUACAUACAACUACUACAGGUCUGCCUCUAUUGGACAGUGUUGCAGGUAGAUCUAAACUACUACAGGUCUGCCUCUAUUGGACAGUGUUGCAGGUAGAUCUAAACUACUACAGGUCUGCCUCUAUUGGACAGUGUUGCAGGUAGAUCUAAACUACUACAGGUCUGCCUCUAUUGGACAGUGUUGCAGGUAGAUCUAAACUACUACAGGUCUGCCUCUAUUGGACAGUGUUGCAGGUAGAUCUAAACUACUACAGGUCUGCCUCUAUUGGACAGUGUUGCAGGUAGAUCUAAACUACUACAGGUCUGCCUCUAUUGGACAGUGUUGCAGGUAGAUCUAAACUACUACAGGUCUGCCUCUAUUGGACAGUGUUGCAGGUAGAUCUAAACUACUACAGGUCUGCCUCUAUUGGACAGUGUUGCAGGUAGAUCUAAACUACUACAGGUCUGCCUCUAUUGGACAGUGUUGCAGGUAGAUCUAAACUACUACAGGUCUGCCUCUAUUGGACAGUGUUGCAGGUAGAUCUAAACUACUACAGGUCUGCCUCUAUUGGACAGUGUUGCAGGUAGAUCUAAACUACUACAGGUCUGCCUCUAUUGGACAGUGUUGCAGGUAGAUCUAAACUACUACAGGUCUGCCUCUAUUGGACAGUGUUGCAGGUAGAUCUAAACUACUACAGGUCUGCCUCUAUUGGACAGUGUUGCAGGUAGAUCUAAACUACUACAGGUCUGCCUCUAUUGGACAGUGUUGCAGGUAGAUCUAAACUACUACAGGUCUGCCUCUAUUGGACAGUGUUGCAGGUAGAUCUAAACUACUACAGG